GAAGGUAUAGCUCAGUGGUGGAGAGCAUGCCUACCAUGCACGAGGUCCUGGAUCAAUCCCAGUGUCUCCA
This 70-nucleotide transfer RNA is filed under the name Camelus bactrianus (Bactrian camel). It matches the Rfam family "tRNA". From Rfam's summary of the family: Transfer RNA (tRNA) molecules are approximately 80 nucleotides in length. Their secondary structure includes four short double-helical elements and three loops (D, anti-codon, and T loops). Further hydrogen bonds mediate the characteristic L-shaped molecular structure. tRNAs have two regions of fundamental functional importance: the anti-codon, which is responsible for specific mRNA codon recognition, and the 3' end, to which the tRNAs corresponding amino acid is attached (by aminoacyl-tRNA synthetases). tRNAs cope with the degeneracy of the genetic code in two manners: having more than one tRNA (with a specific anti-codon) for a particular amino acid; and 'wobble' base-pairing, i.e. permitting non-standard base-pairing at the 3rd anti-codon position. The record is from Rfam by way of RNAcentral. Lineage: Eukaryota; Metazoa; Chordata; Mammalia; Artiodactyla; Camelidae. RNAcentral also lists the same sequence under 2 other names.